CUAAAUAUCUAAACGGAGAGAUUCAAUAUUGCCCUUAAAAGCAAUGUGCACUUCUCUCUUAGUAAGACGCUGUGAUCCAUUAGAAAUUGGAUUGUAUCAACAAUCGUUUGGCUAUCGAUAGGCCGAUGUGAAGUUCAUUGAUACAAAUAACUUGAUCUUUUACGGUUAGGUAUAUUGUUUAGUGAGCACAUUGUAACCUGAUAAUAGCUGUCUGAUGGAUUUUAAAGGUCAUAUUAUUAAUGUUUUAUACAUUACUCAUACGUGAGAUUUUUGAUAUGUACCCGAUCAACAGCGGUUAAAUUUAGCAUACCUUCUGGACCCGUCUUGAAACACGGACCAAGGAGUCUAUCUAGUAUGCAAGUAAAUGAGUAUAUAAAACUUAUUUGCAUAAAAAACUUGACUGUUUAAUGGGACUACGAAUGAAUAAUUCUUCCAUCCCGGGGUAUUUUUAUCAACAUAUACAGCAAUGUAUAUGGAAAAUAUACCAUGAGCAUACUGGAUAUGACCCGAAAGAUGGUGAACUAUGCCUGAUCAGGUUGAAGUCAGGGGAAACCCUGAUGGAGGACCGAAGCAAUUCUGACGUGCAAAUCG
Molecule: ribosomal RNA, 591 nt
Filed under: Clunio marinus
Lineage: Eukaryota; Metazoa; Arthropoda; Insecta; Diptera; Chironomidae
Description: eukaryotic LSU rRNA
Rfam family: Eukaryotic large subunit ribosomal RNA
Source: RNAcentral